GGUGAUAUGUCUCAGUGGUAGAGCCUUGGUCUAGAAUGCAGAAAGACUUGGGUUCAAACCCUAGAGUCACCA
Molecule: transfer RNA, 72 nt
Filed under: Cricetulus griseus (Chinese hamster)
Lineage: Eukaryota; Metazoa; Chordata; Mammalia; Rodentia; Cricetidae
Rfam family: tRNA
About the family: Transfer RNA (tRNA) molecules are approximately 80 nucleotides in length. Their secondary structure includes four short double-helical elements and three loops (D, anti-codon, and T loops).
Source: Rfam by way of RNAcentral